Molecule: long non-coding RNA, 1021 nt
Filed under: Cricetulus griseus (Chinese hamster)
Lineage: Eukaryota; Metazoa; Chordata; Mammalia; Rodentia; Cricetidae
Description: lncRNA (ENSCGRG00015034581.1)
Source: RNAcentral
CACACACACACACACACACACACUUAGGGGGAAGUUUUCCUGAGCCCCCAGGCAGAAUGACAAGCGCACUCUGGAGUUUCCCAGUGUUGCAGGGUAGCCUUUACUCUGUCCUUCCUGGCCCAGGGCUUUGGCCAGCUGCUCCUGGUCUCUGAGUUCCUGAUUCCUGCUGGUCCCUGUCUUUGGGUGCCCCCAGGCCACAGGUGGAAGAAAGAAACAAGGACUCAAGGCUAUCUUCUCCCACUUCUGGGCCACAGCCACAGAGGCCAUGGAGUUGGUGGCCAGAGACUCUGGCCCCCUCCUAUCUGCAGUCACCUGGACACAGGCGAUCAUCUUGCCAUUCUAGGCUGCCACUCUCCCCCUCAUCCUGUAGGACCAAUACUCAUCCUGCUGCAGGAUACUGCUCUACGUUCCAGCAGUGUGGUGAUCAUCACCUCACGGGGCAUCAUCAGGAGCAUACACCCUCUUCAGCCUGAUGCCCAGGCCACUGUGGACAUCACAGCACAGGCAGCCCUGGGGACCACAACUCAAGUGAUGUCAUUAAAAGGCCCUCCCACCUCUCAGAGAGUGGAUACCACAGGCCAAUGUUGGCUCUACAUGGAAAUCCCUCACACCCUUCUCUCUCCUCACCUCUUACACACCCCUUUUCCUAGCUCAGGAGCCUGUUGCCUAGGUGAUGCUUGGUUGGUUUCUGUGAUGAUGACAUCCUGUUACCCCAGGAAGCAUGGUUGAUAGCAUGCUGUCUGAGUGAUGACCUACUGAAGCUCUGCCCCUCACCAAGUCAGUUCAUGUGACUCCUUGAGCAUCUGUGUUCUCUGAGACCACAAACCCCAGAUAAUGGGUAAAAGAAAACCCACCUGGUCUUGGGGCACCCCUUCAUCAGUUCUUCCUCCAGCACCCCAAUGGCUGCCAGCCAACUCAUAGCUCAUCUCCUUCUCACAUCCGUCCCUUCUCCUCUUCUCUCUCCUCCCUCCCUCCUAAACUCUUCUCAGCUCUGGGAAUAAAUCUGUUCAGCUGAUCUUGG